Molecule: ribosomal RNA, 425 nt
Filed under: uncultured bacterium
Lineage: Bacteria
Description: partial 16S ribosomal RNA
Rfam family: Bacterial small subunit ribosomal RNA
Source: RNAcentral
GUGGGGAAUAUUGGACAAUGGGCGCAAGCCUGAUCCAGCCAUGCCGCGUGAGUGAUGAAGGCCUUAGGGUUGUAAAGCUCUUUCGUCAGGGAAGAUAAUGACGGUACCUGAAGAAGAAGCCCCGGCUAACUUCGUGCCAGCAGCCGCGGUAAUACGAAGGGGGCUAGCGUUGCUCGGAAUCACUGGGCGUAAAGCGCACGUAGGCGGCCUUCUAAGUCAGGGGUGAAAUCCUGGAGCUCAACUCCAGAACUGCCUUUGAUACUGGAGAGCUUGAGUUCGGGAGAGGUGAGUGGAACUGCGAGUGUAGAGGUGAAAUUCGUAGAUAAUCGCAAGAACACCAGUGGCGAAGGCGGCUCACUGGCCCGAUACUGACGCUGAGGUGCGAAAGCGUGGGGAGCAAACAGGAUUAGAAACCCCGGUAGUCC